Non-coding RNA from Cinara cedri, 2559 nucleotides. The record is from the annotation of a GenBank genome assembly. NCBI's taxonomy places the organism in Eukaryota, Metazoa, Arthropoda, Insecta, Hemiptera, Aphididae.
UAUAUCAAGUCUAUGGUUUCUAAGUGAAAUCUGAAUUGUUGCUUACAAGUUAUGUCUCAUUUUAUUUUCAUCAAAUGGUUUUUAUCAUCCUAUUAUAAAUCUAUUUAAUGAAUUACAAGUAUCCAUUUAGUAAUUAUUAGUUAUAAUUGUUACAAAUUAUAUUUAAUCUACAGAUUUUCAACUAAUCCUUCACUGCGUAGUAUUUGCCUCAAAAACUAGAUUUUUGUAAAGUGAAUAUAAGUAGUCUAAUUGAAGUUUGUUCUCUAGGCAUUUUAAAGACACUUGUUAUUAUAAUUAUGUGCAACCAAAUGGUGAUACUAAUACCAAAAAGAUGUAUAGAAGGCCUGAUUUCAUUCCAACAUAACAUUGGAAAUCUAUUAAAUAAUUUUAAAAAAAGGCCAGUACCUCUAUAAGUAUCUGUAUUAAAUUUAGAUAUUUAUUUGUUUUGAGUUAAUUAAAUAAAAUAGUUGUCAAUUUUUGGUUUUUAAAUUGUAGGCAUGAAUUUAUCUCAACAGAUGUUUAUGGUAAAAAUGUACCAGUAUGCAACAAUGUAAUAUGGUCUACAGUUUAAAAUGCUACAUUGAUUGAUACAUUUAAAAAAAAAAACAUUUAAUGUUUUGCCAAAUUCUAGUACAAAAAAAUCAUUUGAUCCUUCACUAAAUUCUACAUUAAGGUAUUUAUAUUUUUUAAUUAUGCAUUUCAGUCUACUACAAUUUCUUCUAUUAAUUCCUUGUUGCUUUCCUUUCAUUUUUUCUAUGGUCCUCUUGGUUUUUUCCCCUCAUCAUAUGUGUCUUUAUGUUUUUCAACAUACUUCAGCCUACAAUCAUAAUCACAGAAAUUUUGUUUCAGCUAUUUCAAGAAAGUUUCAAAUUUUGAAAUAAAAAAUAACUAAGAAUAAUAGUUUGGCUAUGACAAUAUUACUUUAUAAAUAUCUUUGCCCAAAUGCAGUUACUUCAACCAAACUCAAGCCAUUCAUCCUUAUCUCUCUGGCAGAAGCUCUAUACUUUGAAAGUUAUAGUAACAAAGUAACUACAAAUAAAGCCAAAUGAUAAAAGAUAAAAUUGCUUAAGUAAAAAAUUCUAAUUAUUCUAUCUCUUCAUCAAGAGAACGCAACUAGACGGCGAUCAAAAUUAAUUUAUUCUCAUGCAUUUCUACCACUAUUCUAGUGUGAUUGUUUCGAGUUGUACACCGUUAUUUUUGUCAACUGCCGUGUGGUGGCAUUCAGAUAUCGGUGACCGCGUAGUGUGGGAUGCUUGAACAAGUUGUGUUCUCUUGAUGAACAAUAUAUAAGAUAUUUGUAUCUUUUACCAUUAACAAAAGUACUAACUGGAUUCUAAAACAUUUGUUCUUAGUGAAUAUCAAAUAAUAGCACCAUAUUAUUGAUUUGACAUAAAUUAAUAAUGUAACUCUUAAUUUUCCAUGUGAGUUAACUAAAUUCAAAAUUGUAUUCAAUGUAAUUGAUUUAAACCUCAUAUUAUACAAUAUUAACUGAUUUUUGAAAACUUAAAGGUCAUAGUACUCAUUACAUUGAAUUGAAAAACGCUAAUCAAAAUGUUCAUGUGAUGUACAAGAUUUUCAUAUUUUUACAACAAUGAGCAACGUCAAAAAUUAUAUUAAAUCAGAUUUGAGGACUGGUUAAUAUAAAACAAGGUCUAAUCUUAUAAAAAGUAGAUUUUCAUCUGAUGGCAAUUUUUAUAAAUUAAGUUAUUUUAUUUUUAAUUUAACAUUUAACUGAAAAAAAUAUAAUGUCAUUAUUAUUUUUUUUUUUUUUUAGGAUUUAAUAAACUAUCUGUUGUCAUCAAUAAUUCUACUUGGCUUAUUAUAGAUGAAAAACUAGAACUUGCAUCAAACAUCAAAAAUGAAUAGGUUUCCAGAUUGAAUUGUUGAAUGCACAUAUUUUUAAUGUCUAAUGCAUGCAAUAAUCUAAAAUAAUACAUUUUCAUAUAAAACAAAAUUAUUCAAUAUUGUUUAUAUUAUUAUUUAUUCUAAGCAAUAUGAGGGUGUAGUGUCAUUGUCCAUUACAGGGCUGUUAGUUUUAAGAACUAUCAUUUUGAGUAAUUACAAAAAAUAGCCUAACCCCUAAGAAAUGGCUCUAUUUUCACUUUUCUUUACAAUUUGUUUUUCCUACAACACAUUCUUCAUUAAUAUGAGAACACAGUGUGCUAGCACAGAAUGUUAUUUGUAUCUACGUUUUAGACAGACGUAUUAAUUUGAUUAUGGGUAAAAUAUUUUAAAUUUAGUAACUGAUAAUAUAAUUGUUCCUUUCAUAUUAUAACAAUACUCUUUUAAUGAAAUAUUAAACUAUACACUAUAUAAUUAUUUAAAAAAAACAUUAUUACUAAUUAUUAUAAGAUAAAAUAUUUAUUGUAAAAAUAUAUUUAUAAUAAUAAUCAACUUAUUUUUUAUACUUCUAAAGUUUUAAAAUCUUUAACUUAAACUGUUUUUAUUUUGGAUCUAUACAAUAAUUAUAAUCUAUAUUAUAAAUAGUUUAAAUGAAAGUGUUCUAUUAAACCACUCAUUAAAUAAAUAAAAGAAUCAAUUUUUACUUUUAAAUAUUAC